CAAACCAGCAGCAGACCCAAUCACAUUUAUACUCUGACCAACAGAUAGUCUAGACAAUCCAUACCAGCUCAGCAACUCGCCAAGAGCCAGCCCAAGAGGCUAAAAACAAGUCCAAAACAUGGACCGUAACCAAAAGCAGUUACAAUAGCCAAUUACAAAAAUAUUGACAAAAAUUUAAAGCUUUUAAAAAAGAUUUACAGGUUGACAAUCGAGAUUUAAUAAUAUUGUUGAUAUCCUUCGCCAAAGCUUAUGGGGGGAGUACGGUGUUCCUAUGGAGUUGACCAUUUUGGACCUCCCAAAUUUUGUAGAGAGAAACUUCAAGAGAUAGGCAUAAUAUAUUUCUGGAAACAGUUGUUCCUUGGAAGGUGGAAAUGUAGUCCAAGAUAUCAUCCCAAUUAUUUGAAAUAUUGUUCAACUGACCCAAAUCCAUAGUAUAUCUGAAGAUAAAGUUGGAGUAAUCACAUAAAAAGAACAGGUGCUCAAAAGUGUGU
This 491-nucleotide long non-coding RNA is filed under the name Panax ginseng (ginseng). Its description in RNAcentral is "long non-coding RNA (PGIN_LNC010457)". Lineage: Eukaryota; Viridiplantae; Streptophyta; Magnoliopsida; Apiales; Araliaceae. The record is from RNAcentral.